This 109-nucleotide ribosomal RNA is filed under the name Castor canadensis (American beaver). Lineage: Eukaryota; Metazoa; Chordata; Mammalia; Rodentia; Castoridae. The record is from RNAcentral.
GUCUAUGGCCAUACCUCCCUAAAUGUACCCAUCUCAUCUGAUCGCAGAAGCUAGGCAGGGUGGGGCCUGGCUAGUACUUGGAUGAGAGAGCUCCUGGCAUUUGCAGGGA